Molecule: ribosomal RNA, 474 nt
Filed under: uncultured bacterium
Lineage: Bacteria
Description: partial 16S ribosomal RNA
Rfam family: Bacterial small subunit ribosomal RNA
Source: RNAcentral
GACGAACGCUGGCGGCGUGCUUAACACAUGCAAGUCGAGCGGUAAGGCUCCUUCGGGCGUACACGAGCGGCGAACGGGUGCGUAACACGUGAGUAAUCUGCCCUUCACUUCGGGAUAACCACCGGAAACGGUGGCUAAUACCGAAUACGACCAGUCUUCGCAUGAGGUGCUGGUGGAAAGUCUUUUCGGUGAAGGAUGUGCUCGCGGCCUAUCAGCUUGUUGGUGGGGUAAUGGCCUACCAAGGCUUCGACGGGUAGCCGGCCUGAGAGGGUGACCGGCCACACUGGGACUGAGACACGGCCCAGACUCCUACGGGAGGCAGCAGUGGGGAAUAUUGGACAAUGGGCGAAAGCCUGAUCCAGCAACGCCGCGUGAGGGAUGACGGCCUUCGGGUUGUAAACCUCUUUCAGUACCGACGAAGCGCCCUGUCGGGUGGUGACGGUAGGUACAGAAGAAGGACCGGCCAACUACGUG